RNAcentral lists this long non-coding RNA (1374 nucleotides) under Phasianus colchicus (ring-necked pheasant). Its description in RNAcentral is "lncRNA (ENSPCLG00000021402.1)". Lineage: Eukaryota; Metazoa; Chordata; Aves; Galliformes; Phasianidae. The record is from RNAcentral.
GCAAAAUUGGGAAGGGCCAUAAUCAAGGUUAUGUGUAACUCCAGUGUUUUAUGAGCUUGAAUCUACAUUUUAACUAAUGUGGCUGGUAAAUCUUAGCACUUGUACUUGAUGGUGGAAGCUGGUCUUUCUAGUUAUGACCUAAGGAAUCCAUUUCUCUUCAUGCUGAUAAAAGUUGAUUUCAUAGAAGAUGCUACAUGUGACUGCAAAUCUUGCUUCAGAAGCAUCACUGAUGCAGCUUUUGAUAGGUGACGUGCUAUCUCUUUAAGAGGACAACCACAAGCAGUAUUCAGUCUCUCCUCUUCAGACACCCUCCAGCAGGUAUCACUGUGUUCCCUACAGGUGAAAGGAAUUUGUCUGAAGCUCCAGUCACUUGGUUACAGAAAGCUCUGCAGGAGUUUAAAAAAAAGUCAGCCAGUGGUAACUGAUGUUGUGAAAACCACAAAGAUGCUUGUAUCUUCUGUGUGAAUACUUACAAAAAAUAACCUGGAAACUUGGCACAAAAAGAGGUAUUUCAGUUGUUUUGUCAUUUGAGUUUUGGAGAUCUGUCCAGUUCCCAGAUCCAGAGUUUCAUGAAAUGCAAACGCACACGAAAUACUAUAACAUGGCACCUGAAGUAGGUCCUUCCUGGACUGCUCCCCCUGCUUCUUCAUCCCCAGACAUCUUGUCCCUGGAGGGAAUUCACUGCAUAUUGCCUUGGGCUGCAAUUACCUGCUUCAAGCUCACACUGGUCUUCCUGUCCAUUUUUAGCUGGCUGUCCCUGGUGCUUGGCUCCAUCCCUGGGCAGCAGCAGCCGUAACUGCGGGAGGCAGCAUGUGGUGGGACAGAACUGGGGAACCUUUCAGUAGCCUCCAGUUUCCUCCAGAAUUAGUUCCCUUCUCAAGGUGCUCUUGUUCCAGAUCUGCCAUGAGGGGUACUUGUGAGUUAUCCCUGUGCGAUUGACUAUGCAAAGAAGAAUGCAAGACAAUUAAAUUUAGGCUUAUUUUUUAAUGGGAAGAAGUGUUAAAUCACCAUGAAGUUUUGUGGAGCUGCUUCAAUUGGCCCAAGGAAUGAGCCUGGACAAAAUUUGAUGUUAGUUUUGAAAUUCUAUACUUUCAAGGGUGUUUCUAUCUCAUUAACACAACGUGAUCUUUCUGUGCACUUCAUGACACUGUAUUUUUGCUGUCCAACUGGGCUCUCGUCAAUGGGAUUGUUGUGCUCUCCCCAGUGAAAUUGUAAGCAUUCAUGCUUGCAGCAGAAGUUUUACCAAGCAUCUAUUCAUAUCGUAAUGGAUUAUUGACAUAACACAGCAGACUGUUAUGAAGUAUUCCACUAUGUGUAAUUAGAGAGUAUUUAAUCCGCAUAAUAAAAAUCCAUAUGAGAAGUUGUUGUAAUUCA